RNAcentral lists this ribosomal RNA (670 nucleotides) under Oceanidesulfovibrio indonesiensis. Its description in RNAcentral is "Desulfovibrio indonesiensis Bacterial large subunit ribosomal RNA". It matches the Rfam family "Bacterial large subunit ribosomal RNA", at positions 1178 to 1831 of the family's 2925-position model. The record is from Rfam by way of RNAcentral. Lineage: Bacteria; Pseudomonadati; Thermodesulfobacteriota; Desulfovibrionia; Desulfovibrionales; Desulfovibrionaceae.
GGGCUAAACCAUGCACCGAAGCUGCGGCAGCGACGCUUAUGCGUUGUUGGGUAGGGGAGCGUUCUGUAAGCCGUUGAAGGUGUGCUGUGAGGCAUGCUGGAGGUAUCAGAAGUGCGAAUGCUGACAUAAGUAACGAUAAAGCGGGUGAAAAGCCCGCUCGCCGGAAGACCAAGGGUUCCUGUCCAACGUUAAUCGGGGCAGGGUGAGUCGACCCCUAAGGCGAGGCCGAAAGGCGUAGUCGAUGGGAAACAGGUUAAUAUUCCUGUACUUGGUGUUGCUGCGAAGGGGGGACGGAGAAGGCUAUGUUAGCCGGGCGACGGUUGUCCCGGUUUAAGCAUGUAGGCGGAGGUUCCAGGUAAAUCCGGUACCUUUUAACGCUGAGGUGUGAUGACGAGGCACUACGGUGCUGAAGUAACAAAUGCCCUGCUUCCAGGAAAAGCCUCUAAGCAUCAGGUAACACGAAAUCGUACCCCAAACCGACACAGGUGGUCAGGUAGAGAAUACCAAGGCGCUUGAGAGAACUCGGGUGAAGGAACUAGGCAAAAUGGUGCCGUAACUUCGGGAGAAUUCACGCUGAUAUGUAGGUGAAGCCCCUGCGGGUGGAGCUGAAAUCAGUCGAAGAUACCAGCUGGCUGCAACUGUUUAUUAAAAACACAGCACUGUGCAAACA